CAAUGGACGAAAGUCUGACGGAGCAACGCCGCGUGAGCGAUGAAGGCCUUCGGGUCGUAAAGCUCUGUUGUUAGGGAAGAACAAGUAUCGGAGUAACUGCCGGUACCUUGACGGUACCUAACCAGAAAGCCACGGCUAACUACGUG
This 146-nucleotide ribosomal RNA is filed under the name uncultured bacterium. RNAcentral describes it as "partial 16S ribosomal RNA". It matches the Rfam family "Bacterial small subunit ribosomal RNA", at positions 369 to 507 of the family's 1533-position model. The record is from RNAcentral.